UUGAUUAUGGCUCAGGAUGAACGCUAGCUACAGGCUUAACACAUGCAAGUCGAGGGGCAGCAUGAACUUAGCUUGCUAAGUUUGAUGGCGACCGGCGCACGGGUGAGUAACACGUAUCCAACCUUCCGUUUACUCAGGGAUAGCCUUUCGAAAGAAAGAUUAAUACCUGAUAGUAUGGUGAGAUUGCAUGAUAACACCAUUAAAGAUUUAUUGGUAAACGAUGGGGAUGCGUUCCAUUAGGUAGUAGGCGGGGUAACGGCCCACCUAGCCUGCGAUGGAUAGGGGUUCUGAGAGGAAGGUCCCCCACAUUGGAACUGAGACACGGUCCAAACUCCUACGGGAGGCAGCAGUGAGGAAUAUUGGUCAAUGGGCGAGAGCCUGAACCAGCCAAGUAGCGUGAAGGAUGAAGGUCCUACGGAUUGUAAACUUCUUUUAUACGGGAAUAAAGUUUCCUACGUGUAGGAUUUUGUAUGUACCGUAUGAAUAAGCAUCGGCUAACUCCGUGCCAGCAGCCGCGGUAAUACGGAGGAUGCGAGCGUUAUCCGGAUUUAUUGGGUUUAAAGGGAGCGCAGACGGGAGAUUAAGUCAGUUGUGAAAGUUUGCGGCUCAACCGUAAAAUUGCAGUUGAUACUGGUUUCCUUGAGUGCAGUUGAGGCAGGCGGAAUUCGUGGUGUAGCGGUGAAAUGCUUAGAUAUCACGAAGAACCCCGAUUGCGAAGGCAGCUUGCUAAACUGUAACUGACGUUCAUGCUCGAAAGUGUGGGUAUCAAACAGGAUUAGAUACCCUGGUAGUCCACACGGUAAACGAUGGAUACUCGCUGUUGGCGAUAUACUGUCAGCGGCCAAGCGAAAGCAUUAAGUAUCCCACCUGGGGAGUACGCCGGCAACGGUGCAACUCAAAGGAAUUGACGG
Molecule: ribosomal RNA, 911 nt
Filed under: uncultured Bacteroidota bacterium
Lineage: Bacteria; Pseudomonadati; Bacteroidota
Description: bacterial SSU rRNA
Rfam family: Bacterial small subunit ribosomal RNA
Source: RNAcentral